GUGGGGAAUCUUGCGCAAUGGGCGAAAGCCUGACGCAGCCAGGCCGCGUGAAUGAUGAAGGUCUUAGGAUUGUAAAAUUCUUUCACCGGGGACGAUAAUGACGGUACCCGGAGAAGAAGCUCCGGCUAACUUCGUGCCAGCAGCCGCGGUAAUACGAAGGGGGCUAGCGUUGCUCGGAAUUACUGGGCGUAAAGGGCGCGUAGGCGGACAGCUUAGUCAGAGGUGAAAGCCCAGGGGUCAACCUUGGAAUUGCCUUUGAUACUGGCUGUCUUGAGUUUGGGAGAGGUGAGUGGAACUCCGAGUGUAGAGGUGAAAUUCGUAGAUAUUCGGAAGAACACCAGUGGCGAAGGCGACUCACUGGCCCAAUACUGACGCUGAGGCGCGAAAGCGUGGGGAGCAAACAGGAUUAGAAACCCUUGUAGUCC
Molecule: ribosomal RNA, 425 nt
Filed under: uncultured bacterium
Lineage: Bacteria
Description: partial 16S ribosomal RNA
Rfam family: Bacterial small subunit ribosomal RNA
Source: RNAcentral